UCCUAGUAGCAUAAAUCUAGAGAAAAAGCUUAGUUUAAUUGCCGGAUUUUUUUAUCUCGCAUUAUUAAUUGGUGAACGUAUAAUAUCUGUAUAAAUCACAUAUCCGAAUAACUGGCAAAUUCAUGUUUUAAGCCUUAUUUUUCGACAAAUUUAAAAAUUGAGAUACGAAUUUUAUUCGAUUUAUACCCGUAUCAAAUUUUUGCCGAAUUCGAAUUAACUAACUAUAAUUUAAAAACUCUUAUUAU
RNAcentral lists this long non-coding RNA (245 nucleotides) under Ananas comosus (pineapple). RNAcentral's name for it is "long non-coding RNA (ACOM_LNC002145)". Lineage: Eukaryota; Viridiplantae; Streptophyta; Magnoliopsida; Poales; Bromeliaceae. The record is from RNAcentral.